Molecule: non-coding RNA, 75 nt
Organism: Myotis brandtii (Brandt's bat)
Lineage: Eukaryota; Metazoa; Chordata; Mammalia; Chiroptera; Vespertilionidae
Source: Rfam
GUCGGGGGAGGAGGGUUCCCUCAGCCAUGUUUGCUAGAGGGUGCAGGCCAGGCUGAGGGACCCCACUGGUGCACG